GAACUUAAGCAUAUCAAUAAGCGGAGGAAAAGAAACUAACAAGGAUUCCCCUAGUAACUGCGAGUGAAGCGGGAAAAGCUCAAAUUUAAAAUCUGGCGGUCUCUGGCUGUCCGAGUUGUAAUCUAGAGAAGUGUUAUCCGCGCUGGACCGUGUACAAGUCUCCUGGAAUGGAGCGUCACAGAGGGUGAGAAUCCCGUCUUUGACACGGACUGCCAGGGCUUUGUGAUGCGCUCUCAAAGAGUCGAGUUGUUUGGGAAUGCAGCUCAAAAUGGGUGGUAAAUUCCAUCUAAAGCUAAAUAUUGGCGAGAGACCGAUAGCGAACAAGUACCGUGAGGGAAAGAUGAAAAGAACUUUGGAAAGAGAGUUAAACAGUACGUGAAAUUGCUGAAAGGGAAACGCUUGAAGUCAGUCGCGUUGGCCGGGGAUCAACCUUGCUUUUGCUGGGCGUACUUUCCGGUCGACGGGUCAGCAUCAAUUUUGACCGUUGGAUAAAGUCUAGGGGAAUGUAGCAUCUUCGGAUGUGUUAUAGCCCUUGGUCACAUACGACGAUUGGGAUUGAGGAACUCAGCACGCCGCAAGGCCGGGUACUUGUACCACGUUCGUGCUUAGGAUGCUGGCAUAAUGGCUUUAAUCGACCCGUCUUGAAACACGGACCAAGGAGUCUAACAUGCCUGCGAGUGUUUGGGUGGAAAACCCGGACGCGUAAUGAAAGUGAAAGUUGAGAUCCCUGUCGUGGGGAGCAUCGACGCCCGGACCAGAGCUUUUGUGACGGAUCCGCGGUAGAGCAUGUAUGUUGGGACCCGAAAGAU
This 809-nucleotide ribosomal RNA is filed under the name Hymenogaster sp. RNAcentral's name for it is "partial large subunit ribosomal RNA". It matches the Rfam family "Eukaryotic large subunit ribosomal RNA", at positions 30 to 824 of the family's 3401-position model. Lineage: Eukaryota; Fungi; Basidiomycota; Agaricomycetes; Agaricales; Hymenogastraceae. The record is from RNAcentral.